CUCUGCUGCCCGAAACAAGCGCGUGGAAAGCUUGGUCGGGGCUUCUCACAGCCGCGCGCACAGACUGGUUCUCCCCCCGCGUCUCCCGGGAGCGUCGCCGCCACCUGCACGCGUCCGGCACACAAACGUCGGUCUCACCCCUUAGUUUCUGGAAGAGAAAAAGGAAAAGCCACCGAGAGGCCUGACCCUGAGGGGUCGGGGGGAGAUGCGGGCGCGUAGUAGAGGGAAGCGACUGAGGAGCGGGGACUGGGCAGCAUUUGAAUGGAUGCGGGUGCCGCUGGCACCCGGGAAGACGCCUGGGAGCCGGCGCUGGGGAGCCGGGCAUGGGCUGGGAUGUGUUUGGAUUCCAAUCUGGGCCUGACACCAGUUCAGUGACCUCGGGAAGUUCCCCAACCCUGCGGGCCUGUUUCCUCCCUCUGAAGUGGCGACAGUAAUAGAACCGACCUCGUAGGCUCAUCGGGAGGUCCUGAUGGGAGAACCCAUGCAACUUGCCACCACAGAGCCAGGCCCGCGGCGACUGGCUCCUGGUGGGUAUUAAAGACGAGUCGGGAAAGAAGAGCAGGUAAGAGGGCGGGGAGACUGGCCCAGUGGGUUGGGGUGUGCACCUCGGCCACGUGGAAAAGCGAGAAUGCAGGGGCCGGACGCUUAUGGACGAUGCAUAUGUGGGGCCGGAUAGAAUUGUGGCAGGCGGCGCUGGGGCUGAUGCGCCUCACCCAGAUUAUCCUCUGUAAUCCUCACAGCCCUGUGAAGUGGGCCCUGCCAUGAACAUUUUGUAAAUAAGGCACCCGAGGCUCAGAGAGGUGAAGUAAUUUUCCAGACAGCCCAGCUCGUCAGCGGCCAGCAUUUGAAGUCACACUCCAGAGCCUGUUUUUAUCAUAAUAGCCGCUGUGACCGCAUAACCAACGUGUGUGUUGAAGUGAUCAAAUAACCAUGGGGUGGUCUCUGAUGUCCAGGACUUUUGAGAAAUACUGAAAAAGUAUGAGGCAAGGCCCCUGCCUUCAAAGAGCUUUCAAGUUUAUGGGAGAGACUGAGUCAGGCGCAAAUUAACCAACAUCUGUUGAGCACUUACUGCUUGCCAGGACCCUGCCCUUCUCUCACUGUCUUCCUCCCUUCCAGG
RNAcentral lists this long non-coding RNA (1117 nucleotides) under Homo sapiens (human). RNAcentral's name for it is "non-protein coding lnc-FAM19A3-2:4". Lineage: Eukaryota; Metazoa; Chordata; Mammalia; Primates; Hominidae. The record is from RNAcentral.